AGUGAACGCUGGCGGUAGGCCUAACACAUGCAAGUCGAACGGCAGCACAGUAAGAGCUUGCUCUUACGGGUGGCGAGUGGCGGACGGGUGAGGAAUACAUCGGAAUCUACUUUUUCGCGGGGGAUAACGUAGGGAAACUUACGCUAAUACCGCAUACGAUCUACGGGUGAAAGCAGGGGAUCUUCGGACCUUGCGCGAUUGAAUGAGCCGAUGUCGGAUUAGCUAGUUGGCUGGGUAAAGGCCCACCAAGGCGACGAUCCGUAGCUGGUCUGAGAGGAUGAUCGGCCACACUGGAACUGAGACACGGUCCAGACUCCUACGGGAGGCAGCAGUGGGGAAUAUUGGACAAUGGGCGCAAGCCUGAUCCAGCCAUACCGCGUGGGUGAAGAAGGCCUUCGGGUUGUAAAGCCCUUUUGUUGGGAAAGAAAAGCAGCAGGUUAAUACCCCGCUGUUCUGACGGUACCCAAAGAAUAAGCACCGGCUAACUUCGUG
This 492-nucleotide ribosomal RNA is filed under the name uncultured bacterium. RNAcentral's name for it is "partial 16S ribosomal RNA". It matches the Rfam family "Bacterial small subunit ribosomal RNA", at positions 29 to 507 of the family's 1533-position model. The record is from RNAcentral.